Molecule: non-coding RNA, 73 nt
Organism: Potamilus streckersoni
Lineage: Eukaryota; Metazoa; Mollusca; Bivalvia; Unionida; Unionidae
Source: the annotation of a GenBank genome assembly
GCUCCGGUGGCCUAGUGGUUAGAGUAUCCGCCUCGAAUAGGGGAAGUCAUGGGUUCAAUCCCCGGUUGAAUCA